GGCGCACGGGUGAGUAACACGUAGGCAAUCUACCUUAGGACUGACACAACUCGUCGAAAGACGGGCUAAUAUCAGAUAAUGCAGCGGCUCCGCAUGGAGACAGUUGUUAAAGUACAAGCGCCUGAAGAUGAGCCUGCGGUCCAUUAGCUAGUUGGUAGAGUACGGCCUACCAAGGCAACGAUGGAUAGCUGGUCUGAGAGGAUGAUCAGCCACACUGGAACUGAGACACGGUCCAGACUCCUACGGGAGGCAGCAGUAAGGAAUAUUGCUCAAUGGCCGAAAGGCUGAAGCAGCAACGCCGCGUGAAGGAUGAAUGGCCUUUGGCCUGUAAACUUCUGUAAAAGAGGAAAAAUAGUUAGGUAUAUCCUAAUGUGAUUGUACUCUUGAAGUAAGCCCCGGCUAACUACGUG
RNAcentral lists this ribosomal RNA (410 nucleotides) under uncultured bacterium. RNAcentral's name for it is "bacterial SSU rRNA". It matches the Rfam family "Bacterial small subunit ribosomal RNA", at positions 97 to 507 of the family's 1533-position model. The record is from RNAcentral.